RNAcentral lists this ribosomal RNA (452 nucleotides) under uncultured bacterium. RNAcentral describes it as "bacterial SSU rRNA". It matches the Rfam family "Bacterial small subunit ribosomal RNA", at positions 29 to 517 of the family's 1533-position model. The record is from RNAcentral.
AACGAACGCUGGCGGCAUGCCUAACACAUGCAAGUCGAACGGGAUCCUAGCUUGCUAGGUGAGAGUGGCGGACGGGUGAGUAACACGUGGGAAUCUGCCUUUUGGUUCGGGAUAACCGCGGGAAACUGCGGCUAAUACCGAAUGCCCUCGAGAGAGGAAAGAUUUAUCGCCAGAAGAGGAGCCCGCGUCCGAUUAGGUAGUUGGUGGGGUAAAGGCCUACCAAGCCGACGAUCGGUAGCUGGUCUGAGAGGAUGAUCAGCCACACUGGGACUGAGAUACGGCCCAGACUCCUACGGGAGGCAGCAGUGGGGAAUAUUGGACAAUGGGGGCAACCCUGAUCCAGCAAUGCCGCGUGAGUGAUGAAGGCCUUAGGGUUGUAAAGCUUCUUUUGCCAGGGAAGAUGAUGACUGUACCUGGAGAAUAAGCCCCGGCUAACUUCGUGCCAGCAGCCG